AGGAUUUUUAAGCCGCGAGACAAUUGAGACAUGGAUUGUGUGUCCGUGCCAUUCAGAGGGUGGUAUGGGCAAAACAAAAGAUUUAAGUGCCUUUGUUGAACAGGGUAGGCACAGGAGGUUGUUGGCACCUUCAUUGGGGCGAACGGGCUUGUGUUAAUGACUGGAGUGGAAUGGAAUCAAACACAUGGUUUCCAGGUGUUUGAUGCCAAUCCAUUAGCUUCGUUCUGGCCAUUAGUAUGAGCCGCUUUCCCCUCAGCAGCCUCCCGUCAGGGUAUGGUGGUAGGUGCUAGGCACACACCGGUUUGUGUCAAGAGCUGCAACGCUACAGGGUUUUUCACGCUCAACAGUUUCCCAUGGGUAUCAAGAAUGGUCCACCACCCAAAGUACGCCUAGCGAACUAGACACAACUGUGUGCGAAGCUGUCAUCAAGGCAAAGGGUGGCUACUUUGAAGACUCAAAUAUAAAAUAUUUUGAUUUGUUUAACACUUUUUUGGUUACUACAUGAUUCCAUAUGUGUUAUUUCAUAGUGUUUUUGUUUCACUAUUAUGCUACAAUGUAGAAAAUUGUAAAAUAAAGAAAAGACCUCGAAUGAAUAGGUGUGUCCAAACCUUUGACUGGUAUUAUAUGUUCCCACACCUUGCAAGGAACCAAAUGUACUAGCUGGGAAUACUAUUAGUCCUGGAGUUAACCUAACCACUAAUGAUAAUGUAAUCAGUGCUGUGUGUAUAUGUUUGUCUUGUAUGUUGUAAGGAGGUGCAACAUUCCACUGUGCCAAUGGACUACACCUGGGCCCGAGAGCUGGGUCUGAUAUAGGUACCGAAGUCGGGCUCCUUCAUGACCAGUAUCUGUGACGAGAGGGGCCUGGAGCUGAUCUAUGCUGCCAUGCCUAUCAGCUUUUAAAAUGGAGUUCUCUGACUGAUACAUGGGGCUGUGUAUUCUUCAAACAUGUCGGGGAACUCCUGUCUUAUAUGGGACACCAUACAGAAAGGACAAUGACCCAAAACUCACCUCCAGGCUGUGUAAGGGCUACUUGACCAAUACGGAGA
Long non-coding RNA from Oncorhynchus gorbuscha (pink salmon), 1046 nucleotides. RefSeq lists it as uncharacterized. The record is from RefSeq and is a predicted model, not a curated record. The transcript is spliced from 3 exons. NCBI's taxonomy places the organism in Eukaryota, Metazoa, Chordata, Actinopteri, Salmoniformes, Salmonidae.